UACGGAGGGUGCAAGCGUUAUCCGGAUUUACUGGGUUUAAAGGGUGCGUAGGCGGACUUUUAAGUCAGGGGUGAAAUCCCGGGGCUCAACCCCGGAACUGCCUUUGAUACUAUUGGUCUUGAAUGUUGUGGAGGUGGGCGGAACGGGUCAUGUAGCGGUGAAAUGCAUAGAUAUGACCCGGAACACCGAUUGCGAAGGCAGCCCGCUACGCAACGAUUGACGCUGAGGCACGAAAGCGUGGGGAUCAAACAGG
RNAcentral lists this ribosomal RNA (253 nucleotides) under uncultured bacterium. RNAcentral describes it as "partial 16S ribosomal RNA". It matches the Rfam family "Bacterial small subunit ribosomal RNA", at positions 524 to 776 of the family's 1533-position model. The record is from RNAcentral.